This 1825-nucleotide long non-coding RNA is filed under the name Homo sapiens (human). RNAcentral's name for it is "non-protein coding lnc-MST1-3:2". Lineage: Eukaryota; Metazoa; Chordata; Mammalia; Primates; Hominidae. The record is from RNAcentral.
GGCAGGAGAGCUGUGCAGCUUGAGGGGGUCCUGAGUCUCCUUUGCAAAAUGCUGAGUGACACGGACAUCGGGAAUAACUCGGCCCCCGCUGCUGUCUGAGGAGGUGGGGGUAGAGAAGGACACAGGGGCAGCGAGCUGGGUGGGACUGGUACCAGGGGUAAGGGGGCCACCAUUUUGCUUCAUUGGGUCCAUGUAUGCACUCUCAGCAUUUAGAAACUGCUUCUCCUUCUUUUUGUCCUCAGCAAAAGCCAGGUCUCGUGAGGAGGCCUGCCGCAUGCGGACUAUGCUCUGUGAUGUCUGAAGGAUUUCUUCGUACACGGCUGCUCCCAGGCUGGCUGGCGUGCCCUCUGCGGCAGGCUGAGCAGCCUGGCCAUACUCACGGUCUGUAGUGUCUUGAUAUUCGAAGGAGCCCAGGCCCCGGGGGCCUGUGGGCUGAGAGGGGCCGCCAUGGGGUCCCCGGGCCCCUGCUGCCUGGCCUUGCUGCCUCUGGAGCAGCUCAGCUUUGCGCAUCAUCUCCUCAUAAGCCUCCUCAGCGCUCUUGAGCGGCCGUCCGGAACUGGGAGUGGUGGAGCUGCCGGAGGGUGUCUCGGUUGGAUAUCCUCCAGCUCCUCAUCAGAGUCAAAGGCCUCAGGCGUGAUGGACAAGGAGUGGGGCCGCUGCUUCUGCUCCUCGCCAGUACCGCUGGAGAGUGGCUUGCUCCGCUCACUUGGGGCCAGGCCCUGGGCCUGCAGCAAAGGCCGCAUGCUGCUCCCCACCUUGUGGAUCUCGGAGGGGCUGGGUGGAUGUGGCCCUGUCACCCCUGCACUGUCCAGCUGUUCCACCUCCUGCUGCACGACUCCUGUGAUCUCACUCUGGGAGCUAGAGAUGCCGUCAGAGGAAUAGCCUGUGUCACUGAGGCUCUGUGGGCUCCGAGACGCAUCCUGAGAGUAAGGCUUGCCCACCAGGUCCUGCAGCAGGGUGAAAAGCAGACACUGACUCCCCAUGGCAAAGCUCGUGGUGGGAACCCAAUCCUCCCUGUCAAUCCCAGGACCCUGGGGAAGAGUCUGUCCAUUUCCCAAGGGUUUAGGGCCCGCCACCCACCCUAUCUCCUUCUGGCCUUGAAUAACCUGAAGGUUCCAUGGCAAGCCCAAACCAGCCCUUGGUCUUCAAAGAGAAACUUUACUAGAUCAAAGGGUAUCAAAACCCAGCAAAGCAUCUGACAAGGUGCCAGACACAGCACCAGUGUAAAACCCACAGUCUCCAAGCGUGCCAGAACCUCAUCUAGACUUUCCUUCUACUGUGUCCCUUCCCUCCUGUGUGGCCCCAAGGCACCUGUCCUGAGCCUACAGCCUCAGCCACCCAGGGAGGCAAGCCUUUCCAUAGACUGUCCUGUCUGAAAGCUAGGGUCUCUGGGAAGUGAAUGGGACUGACCUCCGCCUCCCCACCCUUGGGGGCUUCUGGAACAGCCUUGACGACAGGGGUGGCAGGUUCAGCCCUCCUCACCCCACUCUUUACUUUAGGAGUCGCAGGGGUUGGGGUAGUCUCUGGAGGUGGCUUCGGCAUGGGCUCAGCUUUAGUGGGGACUCGGGUCUUCUUUUCCUGGACACUGCUUGGGGUCUUGCUGGGUUCAGAAGCCCUGAGGGGCUUGGCCUGGGGGCUGGCCUUGCUGGGCAGAGGGCUGGCCUUGGUGGAUAGAGGGCUGGCCUUGGCAGGCAGGGGGCCUGAAGGCUGGCCCAGCCCCUGUGGCCCUUUCUGCUUCAGAGGGGAUGUUCCAGAUGCACGGUGAGGGGCCCCUACAGGGGGCUGCUGUGAGGUGGGCGGCGGCAGGGGGGUCGGCUCUCCUAGG